CACAGGUAUGAAAUAUUUUGUGCAGAUUUGGUAGAAGGCUUUCAGUACAACUCAGGGCCUCUUGAUUUUGAGGCAUAAAUCUUAGGCCUCUGUAUCAGUCAGGGCUCAGACAGAG
Molecule: small nucleolar RNA, 115 nt
Filed under: Canis lupus familiaris (dog)
Lineage: Eukaryota; Metazoa; Chordata; Mammalia; Carnivora; Canidae
Also listed under: 1 other name
Description: Small nucleolar RNA SNORA5 (multiple genes)
Rfam family: Small nucleolar RNA SNORA5
About the family: ACA5 is a member of the H/ACA class of snoRNA that guide the sites of modification of uridines to pseudouridines.
Source: Rfam by way of RNAcentral